CCUAAGGUAGCGAAAUUCCUUGUCAGGUAAGUUCUGACCCGCACGAAUGGCGUAAUGAUUUGGGCACUGUCUCAACAGCCCGCCCGGCGAAAUUGUAGUACUGGUGAAGAUGCCAGUUACCCGCAACUAGACGGAAAGACCCCAUGGAGCUUUACUGUAGCCUAAUACUGAAGAUCGGUAAUGCAUGUACAGGAUAGGUGGGAGCCAGCGAAACCCGGGCGUCAGCUUGGAUGGAGGCAACCUUGGAAUACCACCCUUGUAUUGCUGGUUUUCUAACCUGCGGCCAUGAAUCUGGUCGGGGGACACUGUUAGGUGGGCAGUUUGACUGGGGCGGUCGCCUCCAAAAGCGUAACGGAGGCGCUCAAAGGUUGGCUCAGCACGGACGGAAAUCGUGCAUAGAGUGCAAACGCAUAAGCCAACUUGACUGCGAGACCGACGGGUCGAGCAGGUACGAAAGUAGGAGUUAGUGAUCCGGUGGUAUGUGAGUGGAAAUGCCAUCGCUCAACGGAUAAAAGCUACCCUGGGGAUAACAGGCUGAUCUCCCCCAAGCGUCCACAGCGACGGGGAGGUUUGGCACCUCGAUGUCGGCUCGUCACAUCCUGGGGCUGUAUUCGGUCCCAAGGGUUCGGCUGUUCGCCGAUUAAAGUGGCACGCGAGCUGGGUUCAGAACGUCGUGAGACAGUUCGGUCCCUAUCUGUUGCGGGCGUAAGAGAUUUGAAGGGAGCUGUCCUUAGUACGAGAGGACCGGGAUGGACGUACCUCUGGUGCACCAGUUGUUCUGCCAAGGGCACAGCUGGGUAGCUACGUAUGGACGAGAUAAACGCUGAAGGCAUCUAAGCGUGAAACUCCCCCUAAGAUAAGAUCUCUCAUCCUUUAUGGAGUAAGGCUCGACGUAGACUAUGUCGUUGAUAGGUCGGAAGUGUAAGUGCAGUAAUGCAUUAAGCUGACCGAUACUAAUAACCCGAGGGCUUGACCU
Molecule: ribosomal RNA, 976 nt
Filed under: human gut metagenome
Description: bacterial LSU rRNA
Rfam family: Bacterial large subunit ribosomal RNA
Source: RNAcentral